RNAcentral lists this ribosomal RNA (400 nucleotides) under uncultured archaeon. Its description in RNAcentral is "bacterial SSU rRNA". It matches the Rfam family "Archaeal small subunit ribosomal RNA", at positions 1 to 407 of the family's 1478-position model. The record is from RNAcentral.
UUCUGGUUGAUCCUGCCGGAGGUUACUGCUAUUGGAAUCCGAUUAAGCCAUGCGAGUCGAUCGGGUCAGACCCGAGGCGCACUGCUCAGUAACACGUGGAGAAUCUGCCCUUAGGUGAGGAAUAACCUCGGGAAACUGAGAAUAAUACCUCAUAGGUUAUGGAUGCUGGAAUGCUUCAUAGCCCAAAGCCCCGGCGCCUAAGGAUGACUCUGCGGACUAUCAGGUAGUAGUCAGGGUAAGGACCUGACUAGCCUACGACGGAUACGGGGUGUGAGAGCACUAGCCCGGAGAUGGAUUCUGAGACACGAAUCCAGGCCCUACGGGGUGCAGCAGGCGCGAAACUUCCGCAAUGCUCGCCAGAGUGACGGAGGGAUUCCAAGUGCCUAUGCUAUGCGUAGGC